This is a long non-coding RNA of Rhopalosiphum maidis (corn leaf aphid), 696 nucleotides long. RefSeq lists it as uncharacterized. The transcript is spliced from 3 exons. The record is from RefSeq and is a predicted model, not a curated record. Lineage: Eukaryota; Metazoa; Arthropoda; Insecta; Hemiptera; Aphididae.
CAAAUUUCUAAGUAUUAAGCAAAUCCGUUGUUGCCGGUCAGUUUUGUUCUUAAUCGUCAAAUUCUCGAACUAUUUAUUUUUUCAUUACUUAACCGUAUUUACCUGAAUAAAAAUGUCUUCAGAUGAAUCUAGCCUGCGCUCUGCAGCACAUUGGAAUCGGAAAAUAUUUUGGACAUUCAUAUAGCGAUCAGUGCAAGGGGAAAUCAUCACUAAUCAUGCGUCCAGUUUUCUAAAGUAAGACCCACUGCACUGAGAUACUUAAGAUGACUACAUGUUUCUGUUCAUUUGUUGUCACAUAAUUAUGUCGUCAUUAUGCAGGGUCACUUCAACUUAAAUGUAGUGUGUAUAGGAAUUCCCGACUUUCUUUCAAAUUCAUAGAAUGCACGGGACAAUAAAUCACUAAAACACAGUUAGAAGUCUAAUAAACUUUCAACAACUUCAAGAAAAGAACUGUAUAAAGUCAACAACUAGUCUAGAAUGAUGAAAUUAAGGGAAUGAGCAACUUAACCAUCAAUAUAUAAGUUCUAAUUUUUUUUUCUAUGUGAAAUAUUUUCCAAGUUCAUUCCUUUGGAAUCUACAGUUUGUGAAUUCUAUUAAAACCUUUAAGCUAUAUGAUAUAAUAUAUUGAGUAUUAGUUAUAAAUGUUUAGGUAAGUAUAAGUCCAUGUGUGUUGAAUAAAAAUUGUUGAGAAAUAAA